Molecule: ribosomal RNA, 432 nt
Filed under: Oxyrrhis marina
Lineage: Eukaryota; Dinophyceae; Oxyrrhinales; Oxyrrhinaceae
Description: partial Bacterial large subunit ribosomal RNA
Rfam family: Bacterial large subunit ribosomal RNA
Source: RNAcentral
CAACUAAGCGCAUACGGUGGAUGCCUUGGCAGUCAGAGGCGAUGAAGGACGUUGUAGCCUGCGAAAAGCUUCGGGGAGUCGGCAAACAGACUUUGAUCCGGAGAUGUCCGAAUGGGGAAACCCACCCAAUGUAAGUUGGGUAUCCUUAACUGAAUACAUAGGUUAAGGAGGCGAACUCAGGGAACUGAAACAUCUAAGUACCUGAAGGAAAAGAAAUCAAUUGAGAUUCCCCCAGUAGCGGCGAGCGACCGGGGAGAAGCCUGCAAGUAAUAGCAGUGCGGUUAGUGGAACGGUCUGGAAAGUCCGGCGAUAGAGGGUGAUAGCCCCGUACACGAAAACUGCGUUGUGGUACUGAGCUUGCGACAAGUAGGUCGGGACACGUGUUAUCUUGACUGAAUAUGGGGGGACCAUCCUCCAAGGCUAAAUACUCCU